GCCACAGUAGUUCAGUCUGGUAGAAUAUCUGCUUCGUAAGCAGAAAGUCGCAGGUUCAAAUCCUGCCUGUGGCU
This 74-nucleotide transfer RNA is filed under the name Candidatus Woesearchaeota archaeon. Its description in RNAcentral is "tRNA-Thr". It matches the Rfam family "tRNA". From Rfam's summary of the family: Transfer RNA (tRNA) molecules are approximately 80 nucleotides in length. The record is from RNAcentral. Lineage: Archaea; Nanobdellati; Candidatus Woesearchaeota.